UGGAACAGUGCCUUCUGGGUUGUCCGGUCACUCCGGAGUACAAUCCUGUUUGCGGUUCCAACGGAGUCACUUACUCCAAUCCUGGGAGAUUGCUUUGUGCUCAAGCUUGCGGCGAAAAUGUCAACCUACUCAGAACAUCGCCCUGUCCGCGGACAUAGAAUAUAAUGAUUAAUGUCAUAUUAUGUUAAGAAAUAAAAUAAGUUCCGAAUUUC
This is a long non-coding RNA of Papilio xuthus (Asian swallowtail), 212 nucleotides long. RefSeq lists it as uncharacterized. The transcript is spliced from 2 exons. NCBI's taxonomy places the organism in Eukaryota, Metazoa, Arthropoda, Insecta, Lepidoptera, Papilionidae. The record is from RefSeq and is a predicted model, not a curated record.